RNAcentral lists this long non-coding RNA (482 nucleotides) under Brassica napus (rape). Its description in RNAcentral is "long non-coding RNA (BNAP_LNC019417)". The record is from RNAcentral. Lineage: Eukaryota; Viridiplantae; Streptophyta; Magnoliopsida; Brassicales; Brassicaceae.
UUCACUUGGACUGCUGACACCCCUACUUUCCUUAGAGCUGGACUCAGACUCAGACUUUAGUACUGGAUCGGGUGAGGUCCAGUCUCCAAUUUCACACGAACUUUGUGGCGAUCGAGAGUGGCCCGAUACUUUCCCAAACAGAUUCAUGCCUAGGAUUAUCUCGUGAUUUUUGUAGGCACGUGGAUAUUUUUCUCGAUCAGAUCUACAGGCAGAUUUCUCUCCUGGAUUAUCACCGGGAUAUUUUUCAUGAGCCCUAGUGAAUGCAUAAUUUUCCCACCGGCUGCCCUCACUAGUCUCGAAUCAUCCCUAGAACUCAGACAUAACAGACUCUUUCCGACCAGUCCCGGACUCAAAAAACUAUGUGUAGCCUCUGUGUCGAAAAGUACGUGUGUUUCCACACCACAAAUCCACUUGUGGGAACUAUCUCAGUGCAUGACCACACCACAAAGAACGUCCCAUACAUCCCUCAUGGUAUUGCCAAU